UUUGACCCCGAUUUGGACCAACUUGAAAACUGGGCCAAUAAUAAAAAAUCUAAGUACAUUUUUAGAUUCAGCAUAUCAAAGAAUCCCAAGGAUUCAAUUUUUGUUAAAUCAAACUAAGUUUAAUCUUGGACCCUUUGGACCUUAAUGUAGACCAAUUUGAAAACCGGACCUAAAAUUAAAAAUCUACAUACACAGUUAGAUUCGGCAUAUCAAAGAACCCAAAAUUAUUCAAUUUUUUAUGAAAUCAAACAAAGUUUAAUUUUGGACCCUUUUGGCCCCUUAUUCCUAA
Molecule: long non-coding RNA, 289 nt
Filed under: Mytilus galloprovincialis (Mediterranean mussel)
Lineage: Eukaryota; Metazoa; Mollusca; Bivalvia; Mytilida; Mytilidae
Source: RNAcentral